GGGUGUGCCUGCCACUUUAAGGGCCUGGAGCUGGCAGCCUCCAGGUGCCUGAUUAGGGCAGCCAUUUUAGAGGCAAGGGCUGCCUAUAUAAGCAGGGCAGUUUGGCUGCUGGAAGGAAGGCAGCAACAUUGCCUGGCUGGAGUGCUGCUGAGAUCACCUGGAGUAUUCUGGACUAACACUAAGGUGAGUGCCUGAAGAGGAGACUAGGAUUCAGAGGAAAAGGUUGUGUUACAGAUGUACCUAAAGGAAGAAAUGACAGACUAAGAGAAGCUCAAAAGAAAAGAGCUGUCGCCGCCGAGAGCUGCGGCGCGGGGUUCGGGGCCUUAGGAGCCCUAGUCGGCAGGCGGGUACUUGUGACACUUGGAGUGGAAUCAGGUAGUCCAAGUUUUGAUUCCUGUUCCCACUCCCAAGAUGACUUCCCUGUAGACCUUCUAAAGUCCACAAGACAGUGCAAACAUCAGUGGGUCAGCAGGAGUCGUCGAUCUGGAAAUACGCUCUCCCCUCAGGACCAAGUCAUCUCAGGCAGCGUUUAACAUAUCCAUAGAAGGCAAGUCUGAAACUGAAACAGGAAUAUAGGCGUGGAAUCGGAGGGGAGCAAGAAAGAUGGGAAGCUAAGUGCGAAGAUUAACUGGGAAAGGUGGCUACAAAGGAGGGACCAAAAAGACUGGCCUAACACAAAAGCUCUGCAGGUACUGUGAACUGGUGCCACAGUUCCAGGGAAUUUACAACUUUAUAGUGCUAACCAGGAAGAGGUAAGCUGGAGCCCAGCUGCAUAUGCUGAACUAUAUGGACACACAGCCAUUUAUAGUUACUACCUGACCAAAGGCUGCCAAUUUAGGACAGUCUCUGUUACAGGUUUCAUUGUUUGAAAUACAGGAGCAUCUAUAUUUAUUGUUGACUUUAAAAAUAUUUUACAGUACAUCCUAUUUUAUUAUGAAACAGCUCCAGGGCUCUCCCAUGAGCUUCAUGUUCACAGAAACCAAGUUGUUACAUAUGCUUUACUUUGCACUUAAAUUACUGAAAACCAGUCUCUAUUAACGCUCUAGCCAACGUUGACUUGCCAAAGCAAAUCAGAUGAGGGAGAAUUAAAACAACAAAGAUUAUAACCGAAAUAUCUUCACGGCUAGGGAGGUGCAUUUUCAGACCCACAGGAAUCCUGUUUAAAUAUUGUUUUUCCAAGUAUAUAGAAAAGGUGGGGUAUAAAAGUCUCUAGUGGGAGGAAAGACUGAUAAAAUGGAUCCACACUCCUUAAUGUACUCACAACUAAUCUACAAAACUAAUGUAAAUAUUUCUUAUUUCAAACCUCCACAGCUGAAUUUUCAUAGCUUUUAUUUUUCAUAUCAGCCAAUUUUGCUUUGCUGCCUUUGUGGACACACAGGGUAAAAUAACAGAAAAUAAAAAAGUAGAUAUGCUGAAUUGGCUACUGUAAUAUAAGUAUGUUUUAUGAGCCUAGUCAUCAGUGAGAGAGUGCUAGAUAGGAAAACAACAGUGAAAAAGACUAUGUAACACUAAGUCCCUUGUCACACUCACAACUCAAAUAACAUUUUCAUUUCAAACAUUGCUGCACCUUAAAUCUGUGGUAUUGUUCUGCAAUAGCCCAAAAACUAUCAUGACCUCACCAUUAUUGCACUGUGAUAUCAUGGUGUUGUGUUGUUUGUGUCACUGCUGAGCAGCUGUAAAAUGUUGAUAAUAUUGUGUUUAGUUAGAAAGUAGCCAACCUACAAAGUGAUACAGUUAGCAUUCUUUCUCAUGUCUUCGGAACAAUUAGCAAGGAAGGAAGUGGUAGAGAAAAAUCUUUUUUGUUCCUUAACUUCUGGCAAUUGUGAAAUGAAAAUGGCCUCUCUACUCUUUCCAUAUUUUCCUAGAAGGGAGUUCUACUCUUAGGCAAGGUUUACUCCACAGCAGGGGUAGGCAUCCCCUGGCGCACAUGCCAGAGCGUAGCAUGUGAAGGCAUUUUGCAUGACGUUUGCACCUCGGGGAAGGGGCCAAGUUGUGCUGCCACAACAAGGAUCAGGCCCCUUGAGGCUUCCCCAGCUGUCUGCCCCUGUCAUGCCAACAUCUUACAAGUUGACAUUGCAGGUAUUUUAGGCACUCUGCCCAAAAAUGUUGCCAACCCCUGCUCUACAGACUUCUGACAGUCUUCAGCAACUUUGGCCACUGGCACAAAGAUGAUUCAAUCUUAAUUCAUACAGUUGUGCUGUCAAAAACUCCUAGUGUAGGUACAGAAAUACCAGUGAAACUGAACUUUUGCUGGUAUAACUCAUUUCACUCCUGUGCAUAGUUUUCUAUACUUAUACAGAGGGCAGCUUUGAGGGUAUAAGUGCAUCCACACUAGGUACAGCAUAUUGGUAAUACCAAAAUAGUAAACUGUUCCUAAUUUAGAUAUAGAAAAAGAGGCUGAAAGAUUGCCUCUUACAUGGAUAUGUUUCUCUGCUAGGUAUUUCUCAUCAUUAUAAGCAUAAAUCAAGGAAAUUGGUAACUGCAGGGACCUGCAAAAAGUGAUCUGUGUUUCAGGCAGACCAAGCUAAUUGGGUUUAUGGACCAUAAGAGAGCUCUGAAAAGCAAUAAGAGGCUCCAGAGUAAAAUCUGGGGAUCACCAUUAUUAAGUAAUAAAAAUAUAGAGGAUAUGAGAUAUUCAGACACCAUCUUCCAGAAAACAAAUGGGGGAAAAAAAAAAAAAAAACCUUCUAGGAGCUAGAUUCUCUCUCACUGAAACUGGUAAGGCUAACAGCCACCUUCCACUACUCUUAAACAUAAGAAAUAGUUAAGCCCCUCCAAAUAACAUGAAUAUCAUCACCAAAAGCAAAGAUGCCAGCAAGAUACAUGUGGGUGUAGGGAGAGUUUGACUGGGAAACUCUAGAGACCUCUUUCUGUAAAUACUGAAGGAAGGAACAGAGAAAAUAAGCAGCUGAAGGCCCAGGACACAGGCACAGAUAUGCUAAGCAUGUGGCCCUGAAAAAAGCCCACAGGGGGCUUUUAGGCCUGAAAGAGGCUUGAAGCAGUGAACAAACAAAAGUGCCUACAGAUGUUUGAUUCUUCCUUGUUUAAGGAAACAGAACAUUAGGCUUUCUUUAUAAACACAAUUACUUCAAAGAAAUACCUGACUCCAAUGUAAAUUUUUCCUCCUAACCACAACAACUCAAUAAACUUCAGUCUUUAGUUUUGGUAUCUUUUAUUGGACCAACUGCAUAGCUGGGAGAGGUGUUAGACAAAUUUUUGGGCAUACACUACCUUAGUGGUUAGACACGAAUUGGAGGUAUAAGGUAAAAUAGUAUACGCCCAAUAUCUUGUCUAACACCUCUCCCAGCUAUACAGUUGGUCCAAUAAAAGAUAUCUUAAAAAAAAAAAACCC
This is a long non-coding RNA of Alligator mississippiensis (American alligator), 3352 nucleotides long. RefSeq lists it as uncharacterized. Lineage: Eukaryota; Metazoa; Chordata; Crocodylia; Alligatoridae. The record is from RefSeq and is a predicted model, not a curated record. The transcript is spliced from 4 exons.